This 253-nucleotide ribosomal RNA is filed under the name uncultured bacterium. Its description in RNAcentral is "partial 16S ribosomal RNA". It matches the Rfam family "Bacterial small subunit ribosomal RNA", at positions 524 to 776 of the family's 1533-position model. The record is from RNAcentral.
GACAGAGGGUGCAAACGUUGUUCGGAUUUACUGGGCGUAAAGCGCGUGUAGGCGGCUUGGCAAGUUGGAUGUGAAAGCCCACGGCUCAACCGUGGAAGCGCAUCCAAAACUGCUUCGCUCGAGUCUCGGAGAGGAAGGUGGAAUGCUUGGUGUAGAGGUGAAAUUCGUAGAUAUCGGGAGGAACACCUGUGGCGAAAGCGGCUCACUGGACCACAACUGACGCUGAGGCGCGAAAGCUAGGGGGGCAAACAGG